GAUGAACGCUGGCGGCGUGCCUAAUACAUGCAAGUCGAGCGAACAGAUGAGGAGCUUGCUCCUCUGACGUUAUCGGCGGACGGGUGAGUAACACGUGGAUAACCUACCUAUAAGACUGGGAUAACUUCGGGAAACCGGAGCUAAUACCGGAUAAUAUAUUGAACCGCAUGGUUCAAUAGUGAAAGACGGUUUUGCUGUCACUUAUAGAUGGAUCCGCGCCGCAUUAUCUAUUUGGUAAGGUAACGGCUUACCAAGGCGACGAUGCGUAGCCGACCUGAGAGGGUGAACGGCCACACGGGAACUGAGACACGGUCCAGACUCCUACGGGAGGCAGCAGUAGAGAAUCUUCCGCAAUGGGCGAAAGACUGACGGAGCAACGCCGCGUGAGUGAUGAAGGUCUUCGGAUCGUAAAACUCUGUUAUUAGGGAAGAAGAAAUGUGUAAGUAACUAUGCACGUAUUGACGGUACCUAAUCAGAAAGCCACGGCUAACUACGUG
This 497-nucleotide ribosomal RNA is filed under the name uncultured bacterium. RNAcentral's name for it is "partial 16S ribosomal RNA". It matches the Rfam family "Bacterial small subunit ribosomal RNA", at positions 28 to 507 of the family's 1533-position model. The record is from RNAcentral.